NNNNNNNNNNNNNNNNNNNCCGGCGAUGUCCGAAUGGGGAAACCCAGUGCAAUUCGUUGCACUAUCGUUAACUGAAUACAUAGGUUAACGAGGCGAACCGGGGGAACUGAAACAUCUAAGUACCCCGAGGAAAAGAAAUCAACCGAGAUUCCCCCAGUAGCGGCGAGCGAACGGGGAGCAGCCCAGAGUCUGAAUCAGCUUGUGUGUUAGUGGAACGGUCUGGAAAGUCCGACGGUACAGGGUGAUAGUCCCGUACACCAAAAUGCACAGGCUGUGAACUCGAAGAGUAGGGCGGGACACGUGGUAUCCUGUCUGAAUAUGGGGGGACCAUCCUCCAAGGCUAAAUACUCCUGACUGACCGAUAGUGAACCAGUACCGUGAGGGAAAGGCGAAAAGAACCCCGGCGAGGGGAGUGAAAAAGAACCUGAAACCGUGUACGUACAAGCAGUGGGAGCACCUUNGGUGUGACUGCGUACCUUUUGUAUAAUGGGUCAGCGACUUAUAUUCUGUAGCAAGGUUAACCGUAUAGGGGAGCCGCAGGGAAACCGAGUCUUAACUGGGCGUUAAGUUGCAGGGUAUAGACCCGAAACCCGGUGAUCUAGCCAUGGGCAGGUUGAAGGUUGGGUAACACUAACUGGAGGACCGAACCGACUAAUGUUGAAAAAUUAGCGGAUGACUUGUGGCUGGGGGUGAAAGGCCAAUCAAACCGGGAGAUAGCUGGUUCUCCCCGAAAGCUAUUUAGGUAGCGCCUCGUGAACUCAUCUUCGGGGGUAGAGCACUGUUUCGGCUAGGGGGUCAUCCCGACUUACCAACCCGAUGCAAACUACGAAUACCGAAGAAUGUUAUCACGGGAGACACACGGCGGGUGCUAACGUCCGUCGUGAAGAGGGAAACAACCCAGACCGCCAGCUAAGGUCCCAAAGUCAUGGUUAAGUGGGAAACGAUGUGGGAAGGCACAGACAGCCAGGAUGUUGGCUUAGAAGCAGCCAUCAUUUAAAGAAAGCGUAAUAGCUCACUGGUCGAGUCGGCCUGCGCGGAAGAUGUAACGGGGCUAAACCAUGCACCGAAGCUGCGGCAGCGACACGAUGUGUUGUUGGGUAGGGGAGCGUUCUGUAAGCCUGCGAAGGUGACCUGUGAGGGUUGCUGGAGGUAUCAGAAGUGCGAAUGCUGACAUAAGUAACGAUAAAGCGGGUGAAAAGCCCGCUCGCCGGAAGACCAAGGGUUCCUGUCCAACGUUAAUCGGGGCAGGGUGAGUCGACCCCUAAGGCGAGGCCGAAAGGCGUAGUCGAUGGGAAACAGGUUAAUAUUCCUGUACUUGGUGUUACUGCGAAGGGGGGACGGAGAAGGCUAUGUUAGCCGGGCGACGGUUGUCCCGGUUUAAGCAUGUAGGCUGGUUAUCCAGGCAAAUCCGGAUAAUCAAGGCUGAGGUGUGAUGACGAGGCACUACGGUGCUGAAGUAACAAAUGCCCUGCUUCCAGGAAAAGCCUCUAAGCAUCAGGUAACAUCAAAUCGUACCCCAAACCGACACAGGUGGUCAGGUAGAGAAUACCAAGGCGCUUGAGAGAACUCGGGUGAAGGAACUAGGCAAAAUGGUGCCGUAACUUCGGGAGAAGGCACGCUGGUGUGUAGGUGAAGUCCCUGCGGAUGGAGCUGAGACCAGUCGAAGAUACCAGCUGGCUGCAACUGUUUAUUAAAAACACAGCACUGUGCAAACACGAAAGUGGACGUAUACGGUGUGACGCCUGCCCGGUGCCGGAAGGUUAAUUGAUGGGGUUAUCCGUAAGGAGAAGCUCUUGAUCGAAGCCCCGGUAAACGGCGGCCGUAACUAUAACGGUCCUAAGGUAGCGAAAUUCCUUGUCGGGUAAGUUCCGACCUGCACGAAUGGCGUAAUGAUGGCCAGGCUGUCUCCACCCGAGACUCAGUGAAAUUGAACUCGCUGUGAAGAUGCAGUGUACCCGCGGCAAGACGGAAAGACCCCGUGAACCUUUACUAUAGCUUGACACUGAACAUUGAGCCUUGAUGUGUAGGAUAGGUGGGAGGCUUUGAAGCGUGGACGCCAGUCUGCGUGGAGCCAACCUUGAAAUACCACCCUUUAAUGUUUGAUGUUCUAACGUUGGCCCCUUACCGGGGUUGCGGACAGUGUCUGGUGGGUAGUUUGACUGGGGCGGUCUCCUCCCAAAGCGUAACGGAGGAGCACGAAGGUUAGCUAAUCCUGGUCGGACAUCAGGAGGUUAGUGCAAUGGCAUAAGCUAGCUUGACUGCGAGCGUGACGGCGCGAGCAGGUGCGAAAGCAGGUCAUAGUGAUCCGGUGGUUCUGAAUGGAAGGGCCAUCGCUCAACGGAUAAAAGGUACUCCGGGGAUAACAGGCUGAUACCGCCCAAGAGUUCAUAUCGACGGCGGUGUUUGGCACCUCGAUGUCGGCUCAUCACAUCCUGGGGCUGAAGUAGGUCCCAAGGGUAUGGCUGUUCGCCAUUUAAAGUGGUACGCGAGCUGGGUUUAGAACGUCGUGAGACAGUUCGGUCCCUAUCUGCCGUGGGCGCUGGAGAAUUGAGGGGGGCUGCUCCUAGUACGAGAGGACCGGAGUGGACGCAUCACUGGUGUUCGGGUUGUCAUGCCAAUGGCACUGCCCGGUAGCUAAAUGCGGAAGAGAUAAGUGCUGAAAGCAUCUAAGCACGAAACUUGCCCCGAGAUGAGUUCUCCCUGAGACUUUAAGUCUCCUGAAGGAACGUUNGACGUUGAUAGGCCGGGUGUGUAAGCGCAGCGAUGCGUUGAGCUAACCGGUACUAAUGAACCGUGAGGCUUAACCUU
RNAcentral lists this ribosomal RNA (2808 nucleotides) under Klebsiella pneumoniae. RNAcentral describes it as "bacterial LSU rRNA". It matches the Rfam family "Bacterial large subunit ribosomal RNA". RNAcentral also lists the same sequence under 1 other name. Lineage: Bacteria; Pseudomonadati; Pseudomonadota; Gammaproteobacteria; Enterobacterales; Enterobacteriaceae. The record is from RNAcentral.